AGUGAACGCUGGCGGUAGGCCUAACACAUGCAAGUCGAACGGCAGCACAGUAAGAGCUUGCUCUUACGGGUGGCGAGUGGCGGACGGGUGAGGAAUACAUCGGAAUCUACUUUUUCGUGGGGGAUAACGUAGGGAAACUUACGCUCAUACCGCAUACGACCUACGGGUGAAAGCAGGGGAUCUUCGGAACUUGCGCGAUUGAAUGAGUCGAUGUCGGAUUAGCUAGUUGGCGGGGUAAAGGCCCACCAAGGCGACGAUCCGUAGCUGGUCUGAGAGGAUGAUCCGCCACACUGGAACUGAGACACGGUCCAGACUCCUACGGGAGGCAGCAGUGGGGAAUAUUGGACAAUGGGCGCAAGCCUGAUCCAGCCAUACCGCGUGGGUGAAGAAGGCCUUCGGGUUGUAAAGCCCUUUUGUUGGGAAAGAAAAGCAGCAGGUUAAUACCCCGCUGUUCUGACGGUACCCAAAGAAUAAGCACCGGCUAACUUCGUG
This 492-nucleotide ribosomal RNA is filed under the name uncultured bacterium. RNAcentral describes it as "partial 16S ribosomal RNA". It matches the Rfam family "Bacterial small subunit ribosomal RNA", at positions 29 to 507 of the family's 1533-position model. The record is from RNAcentral.